Camelus ferus (Wild Bactrian camel) is the source of this 47-nucleotide non-coding RNA. NCBI's taxonomy places the organism in Eukaryota, Metazoa, Chordata, Mammalia, Artiodactyla, Camelidae. The record is from Rfam.
UUUGUGGCCUUCCUAAAGGCCACAGUAUUUAAUCAGAUACACGUUAU